Molecule: unclassified non-coding RNA, 1772 nt
Filed under: uncultured fungus
Lineage: Eukaryota; Fungi
Description: sequence contains 18S rRNA gene, ITS1, 5.8S rRNA gene, ITS2, 28S rRNA gene
Rfam family: Eukaryotic large subunit ribosomal RNA (bases 735-1772)
Source: RNAcentral
AGCAGGAUCAUUCUUGGAAGAAACCGCGCGCAGGGCCUAUUUUGUAACAAAAGUAGGUUCUGUCUGUGUGAGUAUUUCUUGCGAAGAGAUAAGAGGAUAUAUAUAUAUAUAUCGGGAAUCCUCCUAAGACGGCAGCAGCUAACCCCUGCUUGUCGAGUCUCCUCCUCACGGGUCCUGUGUCUCGUUCUCUCUUUCUUUUUCUUUCUCUUUCUUUCUUUCUUUUCGGAGAGGGAGAGGGGUAGAGAGAGACAGAGAGAGAGAGCUUUUGAGUAUCAGGCUCGUGGGCGGUUGGAACCCAUGGAGCGUGGAGGAUGUUGCUCCCCAACCGUAUGAAACAACGCUCAACGAUGGAUAUCUCGGCUUGGUGAUCGAUGAAGGACGCAGCAAAGUGCGACAAGUGUCAUGACUUGCAGAUACCCGAGAGCUGACAAAUUUCUGAAUGCAAAUUGCAGCCAAGUUAACCUGGCUAUGUAUUGCAGAGAGUACUUCGCUUAUGCGCUUCAUCCAGCAAUGUGUUCAUGGCGGACACGGUUGCCUGGGGCCAUGCGAUUGCGGAUCGAAGAACCUUCUCUUUCCAAUGCCAUUUCUCUCGUUGCGUGUACUUACAUACACGCAAACGAGAAAUUGUGCCCGCGAUCGUGAAAGUAAGAAAACUUCGAGUUUCCCGAAUCAUUUGUGACGCGCGCUUUGUGGUGUGUAUUUUUUACACAUUGCAAUUCCCCCAAUCACAUUUCUCACCUCUGCAAUGCAGGAGAACCCGCUGAACUUAAGCAUAUCAUUGAGCGGAGGACAAGAAAACAACUGUGAUUCCCUGAGUAACUGCGAGUGAAUAGGGAAGAGCCUAUGCUUGAAUCCGGUGUGGAUGGAAUCGGAAACACCGGAAUUGUAGUGCAAGGGUGUAGAGCGAGGUGCAUCAGUCGGAAGAAUCCGCUCAGGAACGAGCAACCAAUGAGGGCUAUCGUCCCGUAAUCUCCGACGCGGUGUGUCUCACAUGCUCUGCUCCCCAAGAGUCGGGCAGUUUGAGAAUGCUGUCCAAAACCGCAGGUGUACUCCUGCGAAGGCUAAAUAUUUCGCCAAGACCGAUAGCGAACAAGUAGUGUGAACGAAAGAUGAAAAGUACUUUGAAAAGAGAGUGAAAAGUCCUUGACAUUGUUGAGCGCCAAGGGGUAUGAGACCCAUGUAUGCUUUCUGCUUUUCAGUGGGAACUGUCAACGCGAGUUUCCGACUUCUGCAGGUUGCGAUCUUCUCCCACCCUAAAAAGUGGUAGAGACGUGGCUGUUGCAGAGAGUAUUGAGACUUGGCAGAGUCCAAGAGCCGGGAGUCGUUGAUUUUGGGCGUGCCUGCGUUGCCGAAGCAUUCUCUCUCGUUGGAGGGUCUUCACGGCGCAAGUGCGACCACCAGCGGUUCCGAGCUAGUGGAGUCGUUGACCAUUUAAUGGUCUCUUACCACCCGUCUGAAACACGGACCAAGGAGUCUACCGAAUGUGCGAGUGUUCUGGUGAUUGAAACCAAACGACGCACAAUGAAAGUGAAGCCUGUGAACCGCGACGGAGAUCGUCGUUGGCGCAACAGGGCUCGGUCCUGAUCACAUGAAAGGGAUCUGAAGUUGAGCACAUUCGCUGGGACCCGAAAGAUAGCGAGCUUUUCCUGGGCCGAAGGAAGCCAGGGGAAACCUUGGUGGACGUUCGAAUGCAGUGCUGACGUGCAAAUCGCUUUGUCAGAUCUGGUAAAGGGGCGAAAGACUCAUCGAGCUAUCUAGUAGCUGGUUCCCUC